UUCUCUAUUCAGAAAAAUACACCAUCUAUUCAGAGUGAGUAAGGGUCUCAAAGAACAAAACUGUCUUUCAGGUUCGUGUGUGCGCCGCUUCUCGUUCAAUUUGCAAUGGUUGGAGGUACGCUCGUAAUUCUUUUUAAUUUCUGUUGUUUGAUCUAAAUAUGCUAUUUAAAUUUAUUUGCAUGUUUAGAUCAGUAUAUGUAUAUAUUUACAAUGGUUGCUUUUGAAAAUUCAUCUUCUAUUGAUAUAUUUAUGCAACAUGAAUAUUAAGUAAAGUCAUAAAUCAUGUUAAUAAACUCAUAUUUUAUCAUACUUGACUUUAUAAUAUACUUUGAAUUCACAUUUAUGCUUACAACCUUUAAACUAAACAUACACUUAAAUACUAAGGAAUCUAGUUAAAUUGGUUAUGUGUGCGAAUUAUAAACCUCUUAUAUCAUAUUAAAUUCUUAUGGAUAAAAAAAAUAUACACUUAAAUGUUCAACAAAAUGCUUUGCUCAAUCAUUAUCUUCGCUUGCAGCCUAGCUUGUUGCACGUCAACGAAAUAUGCAAUGCACUACACAAGUUUUUCUUUAAGAAUAUGCUUGAUGGUUUUGGGUGUACUUAAGAAUAUGUUAUUACUCAAAAUAAAUUGAGCAGAAUCGGAACACAUGAGCAUUAGCGUGUUUGGUCUUGCAACUUGCGAACCCCAUUUUCACACUUCUUAUAGACAUGGUUUUAUCCUUUGUAAACAUGACUAUAAAAAUAUAUCUAAACUUGAUUCUAGUAUAAAUAAUUUCAUUUAAAAUAUUAAAUAAUUAAAUUUUAUACAUAAAUCAUUUCAAUAAAAAAAUUAUAUUUAAAUAAAUUUUUAAAAUCAAAUUUAUUCAAAAUAAUUAAAUACUCAUAUCGUUAACCGUUUUAAAUUUGUUACUAGGCAUAGCGGGCAAAAUUGCAUCUUUUUAUAUGGUUCUCGUGAGUCCCUUCAGACAGAGAAGAAAGGAUUUGAAGAGUUGGAAGCGAAGGAGAUGAAGCAAUUUAGUUGCCACAAAUUAUUUAAUCCUUUUAAAAAUAUAAUUUUUGAUGAUUUUUAAUUAUCAAAAAAGGAAUAAUAAUAAUAAAACAAAUGUUAUGUUAUCACUUCAACACAAAUGAAAAAGUCAAAAACAUUGGAUGGAAAAAAUUGAAACAUUGACCAAUUCCCACAAAAUUUAAUGACCAAAACCAUAAACGUAAAAAAAGUUCAAAAACUAAAAGAGCAUAGUUUACAUUUAAAAAUAUCUUAGUUAACUGUAGUAAAAUUUGAUUUAAACGAAAAACCGAUCCUAAAAUUGAUAAAUUUUAAAAAUGACAUGAUGCAAAUAAUUUAAUGGUAGAGAGAAUAUAAUUAACUAUAAUUGUUGAGAGGAGUCAUUUUACUAAAAUUGACCAAUCAAAUUUUUAAUUUUUUUAAUCAAGAUUAAUGAGGACAAAAUCAAUAAAUAUUUCACAAUUAUAAGAUAUUGAAAUUGAGAAAAUAAGAAUACGAAAUUUCAUUAAAUAAACAUAAGAUGUCAGGAAGUCAAAAUAAUUUUAAGAAAAUUGAAAUUGAAAAAGAAAAGGUGUGGCUAGAAUGGAAACUAAAACGGUUUAUUAACUAAAAUGGAAACUAAAUUGAAAAUAAUGUGUGGCAUUAAUUAACAAUUUGAAAUGGUUCAUUGUGAAGGAAAAGCUGUUUGACCUGAUUCAUGAUCAACCCCGAACAUAUCAACCAAUGAUUGCAACUUGAGAGAGUAAUCUUCUAAUAAUUUUAAUAAAACAGUUGUAGAAAAAUUGAAAUGAGAAAGGUUAACGCGUAAAGACAGACUGGGAAAUGGGAAACGGUAGUUGGAGGUAGGCUGGAAAACCGCCACAGAGACAACGAUGUCUUCCUCCACCUGCACCCGACACAUGUACUAGUAGUUUAUUAACUGGCAAUAACUAAGAAACAACAAAGAAUGUAUUUGAUUGAAUGAAUCAAAUACACAAUAUCUUUCAUGAUGUUAUUUACUACCCUUUCUUCACAUUAUUAUUCAUUAAUUUCUAUAUCUCUCUUCUCUUCUAAUUUUUAUAAUAAACUUUUUGGAGAAAAUUAUUAAAGAAGAUAUUAAACUAAAUAAUAUUUUUGAAAUUUUAUCUUUUGACUCAUCUAAUUCAACACUCUAUUAAUUCUUCUUGUAUGAAUCAACUCAUUUUUGAGUAAAAUAUAUAAUAUUUCCUGUUGCAAUUUUUGUUGUGAAGAUCAAAUCUUAAGCCUCAAUUAAGAAAUAUUUACUAUUAAAAAUAUAAAAUUGGUCUAAUGAGAAAAAAAGAAAAGAAAUGUUAUAUGUUAGAAUUCCGCCACUAACAAAAAAAACUAAUAAUGUUAUUAAUUAAUAUUUGUCAAUAUAAAAAUAAUCGUUAUUUCUUUUACUUCUUUUCUUUAUUUAUAAAAAAAUAUUUUACAAAUAACAUAAUUUUCUCCAUUACUUACAAGCCACGUCCCACACCGUCCAAGGCAAUAUAAUACUCCAACCAUACAACACAAAUUGUUCUCUAUAAAUACACGUUAGCCCACUCUUAAACAUAACAUACUCAACCCUACUUGUGUUCUUGAUUAUACUCUGCGAAAUAAUUUUUGCGUUUCAUUGUCUUAUAAUUAGCAUGGCCUUUGCCGCAGUUAAAGUGUUCAUGAUAUUGGGGCUUUUAGCCACCGCGUGUGUAGCACAAGCCCCUGGACCUGCACCCACGCAACCACCAUCAACAACCCCAUCACCGUCCACGUCAGCACCCGCCCCAUCACCAACCGCAAACACCCC
Molecule: long non-coding RNA, 2789 nt
Filed under: Glycine max (soybean)
Lineage: Eukaryota; Viridiplantae; Streptophyta; Magnoliopsida; Fabales; Fabaceae
Description: long non-coding RNA (GMAX_LNC001821)
Source: RNAcentral